This is a long non-coding RNA of Gorilla gorilla gorilla (western lowland gorilla), 339 nucleotides long. RefSeq lists it as uncharacterized. The record is from RefSeq and is a predicted model, not a curated record. Lineage: Eukaryota; Metazoa; Chordata; Mammalia; Primates; Hominidae. The transcript is spliced from 2 exons.
AGAGCCAAGAAAACUUUUCUUUUGAGCUAUUUACUACAGCUUUUCACAAUUCAGUAUACUCCUGUGAACAAAAUUUGGAGCAUAUUUGUUUCUCUCUACCUGAUUUCUCCAGAAUUUGGAAACUAUCUCAGAAGGAAGGCACUGCACAUGUGGACAGACUGCCGUAAGAGAAGAAUCAUGGAAAAGGGGUCAGCCUAUAAAGUCCUAAGAUCAAGGUUAAAGACCACACUUGACCUUCAUGUCCCAACUUAGGUUUCUUCCAAACUUACUUUCCUUUCUGUCCUGUUCUAAAGCCCUUUUAAAUAAAUAUCCACUCCUGCUCUGGAAAAAAGAAUGAAA